Molecule: ribosomal RNA, 484 nt
Filed under: uncultured bacterium
Lineage: Bacteria
Description: partial 16S ribosomal RNA
Rfam family: Bacterial small subunit ribosomal RNA
Source: RNAcentral
AUUGAACGCUGGCGGCAGGCCUAACACAUGCAAGUCGAGCGGAUGAAGGGAGCUUGCUCCUGGAUUCAGCGGCGGACGGGUGAGUAAUGCCUAGGAAUCUGCCUGGUAGUGGGAGAUAACGUCCGGAAACGGGCGCUAAUACCGCAUACGUCCUGAGGGAGAAAGUGGGGGAUCUUCGGACCUCACGCUAUCAGAUGAGCCUAGGUCGGAUUAGCUAGUUGGUGGGGUAAAGGCCUACCAAGGCGACGAUCCGUAACUGGUCUGAGAGGAUGAUCAGUCACACUGGAACUGAGACACGGUCCAGACUCCUACGGGAGGCAGCAGUGGAGAAUAUUGGACAAUGGGCGAAAGCCUGAUCCAGCCAUGCCGCGUGUGUGAAGAAGGUCUUCGGAUUGUAAAGCACUUUAAGUUGGGAGGAAGGGCAGUAAGUUAAUACCUUGCUGUUUUGACGUUACCAACAGAAUAAGCACCGGCUAACUUCGUG